Non-coding RNA from Vicugna pacos (alpaca), 277 nucleotides. The record is from RefSeq and is a predicted model, not a curated record. Lineage: Eukaryota; Metazoa; Chordata; Mammalia; Artiodactyla; Camelidae.
GAAUCACCUGGAGGGGGUGGUAAACUACAGCUGGGCGGGUCCCAGCGCUGGAGUUUCUGAUUCUGGGGCGGGGCCAAUGACUUGCACUUCGAAAUUCUCAGAUGCUGCCGCUGCCGCCGCUGCUGCUCCGGGGGACCACACUGGAAGCACCACUGUUCUAAAAACUGAAAAGGAGACACAACACAAUUCCUCGUUGCUGUGACCUGGGUGGAAGAGAGACUGGAUGGAGGCUGCUCGAAGUGGGCACCUGAGGAAAUCACAGUGGCUCAAGAAAUCG